AGACAAUAGAUACCCCGGUAGUCCACGCCCUAAACGAUGGAUACUAGGCGUAAGAGGUAUCGACCCCUCUUGUGCCGCAGCUAAACGCACUAAGUAUCCCGCCUGGGGAGUACGGCCGCAAGGUUGAAACUCAAAUGAAUUAGACGGGGACCCGCGACAAGCGGUGGAGCAUGUGGAUUAAUUUCGAUACUAACCGAAGAACCUUACCCAGGUUUGACAUCGAUCGCAAGCCUCAGAAAUGGGGCCCUCUUCCCAAAAGGAAGACGUGAAGACACUUGUUGCAUGGCUGUCGUCAGCUCGUGCCGUGAGGUGUACGGUUAAGUCCGCCAACGAGCGCAACCCUCGUCCUAUGUUACCCAACACGAAAGGUGGGAACUCAUAGGAGACCGCCGGUGUAAAUCGGAGGAAGGUGGGGAUGAUGUCAAGUCAGCAUGGCAGUUACGCCUGGGGCUUCACACAUGCUACGAAUGGGCGAAAC
RNAcentral lists this ribosomal RNA (478 nucleotides) under uncultured bacterium. RNAcentral describes it as "bacterial SSU rRNA". It matches the Rfam family "Bacterial small subunit ribosomal RNA", at positions 775 to 1240 of the family's 1533-position model. The record is from RNAcentral.